RNAcentral lists this long non-coding RNA (1538 nucleotides) under Homo sapiens (human). RNAcentral's name for it is "LHRI_LNC1976.3". Lineage: Eukaryota; Metazoa; Chordata; Mammalia; Primates; Hominidae. The record is from RNAcentral.
UACUCCUCUUUGCCUUCCACCAUGAUUGUGAGGCCUCCCUAGCCCUGUGGAACUUGGUCUGAUGCAGAACUGAAAAGGCCAACACGAGAAUCUUCAAGUACAAUUGCCUGGGAAUCCUGAGGUCUGGACAGCAACACCUGAAUCUGAAUCUCUUUUGGGUUGAAUCAUAAAAGAAAAUAGUAUGGAGAGAUUUAAGGCCAGGCCUCUGGAGAAGGAAUUGAUAAAAUAUGUGGUAGUACCUGCGCUACAGAACAGAAUUCACUUGGAAGUUCUUGGCAUAUAAUGAGUAAAUUGAAGCCCAGAAAGGCCAAGAAACUUGAACCAUUUAGGUGAAGAAGAGUGCUCACCAGAUUCCCUUCUGGUCUGGAAAAAGAAAUCCCUUCUUUUGUGGAUGUCAUCUCUACCAUCUCUCGGUGAAAAAUAUUUCAAGAGAAUCCUAAGAUGGAGAGAGCAUUGGAAGUCAUCCGGCCCAAUUCCCUUGUGCAAUUCAAAGCUUCUUUGUAAGAAAAAUGCCCCCAGAAGUUUGUUUGCAUCAUGAAGAUCAGAUUUUGAGGAUCCAGUCUGGCUCUUCCCUGUACAAAACAUUCCUCACAAACAGAAUAUGGACAAUUGUUAAAUGUCAAAGGUAAAGUUAUUGUGGGAACUCCUUCAAAAAGUUCAAGUGAGAGCCCAUUCUAUGAAUGACCAUUUACAUCUAAUUUUUUUCUGUGCUAUGUUACUUAUUCUGAAGUGGUUGAUCCAAUUCCUAAAAGGGAAUAUUUCAUUACCUUUUAUUUCCUAUAGCAUCCAUUCUGACCCCUUUUCGGUUUAAUUAUUCCCUGAUUCCAGUCUUCAUUCACUCAUUUAUUUGAGGAAUAUUUAUUGACCAACAACUAUGCCAGGUCCCAUUCUAUGUGUAGGGACUAUAAAGUUGAACAAGACAGAGGAGGUACUGGCCUCAGAAUUUACAUUCUAGUAGAUGAGAAAGUAAAAAUAAACACAUGAAAACAUGAAUGAACCGGAUAUUGUAGACUGUGAUAGGUGUAGUUUGGGUAAAGCACAGAGUGCAGUAGUAAAGAUAAACUGCACUCAGAGUGGGGCUAUUUUAGAUGGAAUGGAGAUCUCUGAGGAAAUGAAAUUUGAGCUGAGACCUAAAAGGUCACCCAAGGACUCAUGGGAAAACUCAGUUGUUUCUAUCAAAAUUUAGCUUCAUGAACUCCAGGCCCUUGCAAAUGAUGGUUACCAGGUGAGAAAUGUCUCACUGGCAACAGAGGUUGGCAGACCCAGCUCCAGUUCCAUCCCAGCCAACAUACCAAUGUCAUUAAAAUAAGGCCAUUCAUCAAGGUGGAGACUAUUACUAGAAACAAGCAUUCUAAAGUGCCAUUUGAGUGCCAGGCUCUCAACACUGGGCGUAGCACUGCUCCAUGAGGCUUUUGAGAGCAUAUACUGAGGCAUGACCAAAAAAAUUAAGUCCCAUGUAAGUGAUGCAACUGCUCCCCAAUUACUGUGGAAGUAUCUGCAGACUAACUAUUGUGCGUGUGUGUUUGUUUGCUUUAAUG